AUUAAAUAUAUUCUAUAUUAAAUCAUUCUAAGGUUCUGACUAUUGCACCAUAGUAUCAAUAAAGAGUAUCAAUAAAGCUGCUAUAAAGAGAAAGUUUAGUUUGGAGUAAAAAGUUAACUUUUAAAGGUCCACAAUUCUGAGGUAUCAUACUGCAAUAUUUAUAUAAAAUUUUGAAGUUAACCCCACCUCAUCUCCACAUACAUACUUACCCCCUUGCUGAAUCAAUAAGAUUAAAUGAAAACUAUUUUAGACAUUCAGACUCUCGAGAUAUCAAUAAAACUUUGUUCAUUAUUCGUAUUAUCAGCACCGUAGCC
Cinara cedri is the source of this 314-nucleotide non-coding RNA. The record is from the annotation of a GenBank genome assembly. NCBI's taxonomy places the organism in Eukaryota, Metazoa, Arthropoda, Insecta, Hemiptera, Aphididae.